Molecule: ribosomal RNA, 446 nt
Filed under: uncultured organism
Description: partial 16S ribosomal RNA
Rfam family: Bacterial small subunit ribosomal RNA
Source: RNAcentral
ACUCCUACGGGAGGCAGCAGUGGGGAAUAUUGGACAAUGGGCGCAAGCCUGAUCCAGCCAUGCCGCGUGAGUGAUGAAGGCCCUAGGGUUGUAAAGCUCUUUCACCGGUGAAGAUAAUGACGGUAACCGGAGAAGAAGCCCCGGCUAACUUCGUGCCAGCAGCCGCGGUAAUACGAAGGGGGCUAGCGUUGUUCGGAUUUACUGGGCGUAAAGCGCACGUAGGCGGACUAUUAAGUCAGGGGUGAAAUCCCGGGGCUCAACCCCGGAACUGCCUUUGAUACUGGUAGUCUUGAGUUCGGGAGAGGUGAGUGGAAUUCCGAGUGUAGAGGUGAAAUUCGUAGAUAUUCGGAGGAACACCAGUGGCGAAGGCGGCUCACUGGCUCGAUACUGACGCUGAGGUGCGAAAGCGUGGGGAGCAAACAGGAUUAGAAACCCGUGUAGUCCCA